AAUGAACGUUGGCGGCAUGGAUUAGGCAUGCAAGUCGCGCGAUAAGAUUCCUUCGGGAAUCCGAAAGCGGCGAAAGGGAGAGUAACGCGUAGAUGAUCUACCCCGAGGACUGGGAUAGCGGCGGGAAACUGCCGGUAAUACCAGAUGAUGUCUCCGGACCAAAGGUGUGAUUCCGCCUUGGGAUGAAUCUGCGUCCUAUUAGCUAGUUGGUGAGGUAACGGCUCACCAAGGCGAAGAUGGGUACCGGGUGUGAGAGCAUGACCCGGCUCACUGGGACUGAGACACUGCCCAGACACCUACGGGUGGCUGCAGUCGAGAAUAUUCCCCAAUGGCCGAAAGGCUGAGGGAGCGACGCCGCGUGCAGGAAUAAGGCCUU
RNAcentral lists this ribosomal RNA (376 nucleotides) under uncultured bacterium. Its description in RNAcentral is "bacterial SSU rRNA". It matches the Rfam family "Bacterial small subunit ribosomal RNA", at positions 29 to 418 of the family's 1533-position model. The record is from RNAcentral.